RNAcentral lists this ribosomal RNA (261 nucleotides) under uncultured archaeon. RNAcentral's name for it is "partial 16S ribosomal RNA". It matches the Rfam family "Archaeal small subunit ribosomal RNA", at positions 748 to 1009 of the family's 1478-position model. The record is from RNAcentral.
CAGCCGUAAACUAUGCGCGUUAGGUGUAUCGGUGACCACGAGUCGCCGAGGUGCCGAAGGGAAACCGUGAAACGUGCCGCCUGGGAAGUACGGUCGCAAGGCUGAAACUUAAAGGAUUGGGCGGGGGAGCACCACAACGGGUGGAGCCUGCGGUUUAAUUGGACUCAACGCCGGGAAGCUCACCGGAUAAGACAGCGGAAUGAUUGCCGGGCUGAAGACUCUGCAUGACUAGCUGAGAGGAGGUGCAUGGCGUAGACGUCU